Non-coding RNA from Trichobilharzia regenti, 46 nucleotides. The record is from Rfam. NCBI's taxonomy places the organism in Eukaryota, Metazoa, Platyhelminthes, Trematoda, Strigeidida, Schistosomatidae.
GUACUUCUGAAGAGUCCCAAACUAGGACGAAACAGCUGUCCAGUAC